This 253-nucleotide ribosomal RNA is filed under the name uncultured bacterium. RNAcentral's name for it is "partial 16S ribosomal RNA". It matches the Rfam family "Bacterial small subunit ribosomal RNA", at positions 524 to 776 of the family's 1533-position model. The record is from RNAcentral.
UACGUAGGGUGCAAGCGUUGUCCGCAAUUAUUGGGCGUAAAGCGUGCGCAGGCGGUUUUGUAAGUCUGUCGUGAAAGCCCCGGGCUUAACCUGGGAAUUGCGAUGGAGACUGCAAGGCUUGAAUCUGGCAGAGGGGGGUAGAAUUCCACGUGUAGCAGUGAAAUGCGUAGAGAUGUGGAGGAACACCGAUGGCGAAGGCAGCCCCCUGGGUCAAGAUUGACGCUCAUGCACGAAAGCGUGGGGAGCAAACAGG